Long non-coding RNA from Oncorhynchus tshawytscha (Chinook salmon), 1105 nucleotides. Lineage: Eukaryota; Metazoa; Chordata; Actinopteri; Salmoniformes; Salmonidae. The record is from Ensembl.
GUUACUUUUUAUUCAUACUUUUUUAUUGUAGUCUACUUGGUAAAUAUUUUCUUCUUCUUGAACUGCACUGUUGGUAAGUCAGCAUUUCAUGAUAAAGUCUACACUUAUUGUAUUCGGCACAUGUGACAAAUAAAGUUUGAUUUGAAUUGAUUUGAAAAAGUCAAGGGGUCUGAAUACAUUCCAAAGGCACUGUAAUAACAUGAUACACUGUUAAACUAUCAACAGCCUCUCUGAUUAUUGACUUGUCCUAAAGAGCAGUUUACAUCCUGUCUGAUGACUGUCACAUCCAAUGAUCAAUCUAUCCAUCUAACCAUCCAUCCGCCCAUCCAUAUACCCAUCCAUCCUUCUGUCUAUCCUUCCUUCCAUCCAUCCAUCCAUACACCCAUCCAUGCUGUUACGUUCCCCAGUUUCUGUGUUGUGGGUUUGUAUGUCUGUGUGUAUUUCAGGAAAUGGAAUCCUGGAGCAGCUGAUUGGUCGGUCCCAUCGCUGAUUGGAGCUCUGACUCCACCCUCUCGUCAGGGGAAACAGCUGGAUCUUCAAUUACCAACUCCUUCUGCAGCUUGAAAAGCCAGUGUUCCUUUGUAUCCUUCUUUUCUCCUCCUGCCCCAGGCUGAUAACCUCUCCUCCUCCUCCAGAUGGAGAAGCAUGAUUCAUCACUCCAGAGAACGCGUUUCCACUGCUCCAGAGUCCAAUGCUGGCAAGCUUUACACCACUCCAGCCGACACUUGAAAUUGCGGAUGGUGAUCUAGCCUUGUGUGUGGCUGCUUGGCCAUGGAAACCCAUUUUAUGAAGCUCCAGACGAACAGUUCUUGUGCUGACGUUGCUUCCAGAGGCAGUUUGGAACAUUGUAGUAAGUGUUGCAACCGAAGGAGAGGAAGAGGAGGAGAAGGAGAGGAAGAGGAAAGGGACACACACAGACACCUCAUGCUCUUUCAAGGCAAACGUUGGCUACUUUGAAUAAUCUAAAUUAUAAAAUAUAUUUUGAUUUGUAUAACACUUUUUGGUUACUACAUGAUUCCAUAUGUGUAAUGUAAUAGUUUUGAUGUCUUCACUAUUAUUCUACAGUGUAGAAAAUAGUCAAAAUAAAGAAAAACCCUUGAAUGAG